This 298-nucleotide long non-coding RNA is filed under the name Lathyrus oleraceus (garden pea). RNAcentral describes it as "Pisum sativum (pea) long non-coding RNA (PSAT_LNC037828)". Lineage: Eukaryota; Viridiplantae; Streptophyta; Magnoliopsida; Fabales; Fabaceae. The record is from RNAcentral.
UAAUUUUUACCUAAAAUAAGAGAUAUGCUAAAUAAAAUUAAAUAAAAAAUAAUAAUAGUAAAAAUAAACAAAAUUUGAAAUAGGGGGUAUGAAUUAGAAAAAGUGUAGAAAGACCCAAAUCCCAAAUAGAGUUACAAACCCUAGAAUUUUUUAAUUAAUAAUAAUAUAAUAAAAUAAUAAUUAAAAAAUUUAUUUAAAAAAAGACUAAAAAAAUAGCUAAUAAAAAAUAAGAUAAUGGGGGGCAAUCAGCCACUCCCCUUUCCUUAAAAGUUAAUUCCAAAUUCAAAAGGAGAAAAAA